RNAcentral lists this ribosomal RNA (468 nucleotides) under uncultured bacterium. RNAcentral describes it as "partial 16S ribosomal RNA". It matches the Rfam family "Bacterial small subunit ribosomal RNA", at positions 28 to 507 of the family's 1533-position model. The record is from RNAcentral.
GAUGAACGCUGACAGAAUGCUUAACACAUGCAAGUCUACUUGAAUUUGGGUUUUUUAACUUAGAUUUGGGUGGCGAACGGGUGAGUAACGCGUAAAGAACUUGCCUCACAGCUAGGGACAACAUUUGGAAACGUAUGCUAAUACCUGAUAUUAUGAUUAUAAGGCAUCUUAGAAUUAUGAAAGCUAUAUGCGCUGUGAGAGAGCUUUGCGUCCCAUUAGCUAGUUGGAGAGGUAACGGCUCACCAAGGCGAUGAUGGGUAGCCGGCCUGAGAGGGUGAACGGCCACAAGGGGACUGAGACACGGCCCUUACUCCUACGGGAGGCAGCAGUGGGGAAUAUUGGACAAUGGACCAAGAGUCUGAUCCAGCAAUUCUGUGUGCACGAUGACGUUUUUCGGAAUGUAAAGUGCUUUCAGUUGGGAAGAAAAAAAUGACGGUACCAACAGAAGAAGUGACGGCUAAAUACGUG